RNAcentral lists this ribosomal RNA (766 nucleotides) under Nostoc paludosum WF21. RNAcentral's name for it is "bacterial SSU rRNA". It matches the Rfam family "Bacterial small subunit ribosomal RNA", at positions 54 to 864 of the family's 1533-position model. RNAcentral also lists the same sequence under 1 other name. Lineage: Bacteria; Bacillati; Cyanobacteriota; Cyanophyceae; Nostocales; Nostocaceae. The record is from RNAcentral.
CAUGCAAGUCGAACGGAAUCUUAGGAUUUAGUGGCGGACGGGUGAGUAACGCGUGAGAAUCUAGCUUCAGGUCGGGGAUAACAGCUGGAAACGACUGCUAAUACCGGAUGUGCCGAGAGGUGAAAGACUUACUGCCUGAAGAUGAGCUCGCGUCUGAUUAGCUAGUUGGUGGGGUAAGAGCGCACCAAGGCGACGAUCAGUAGCUGGUCUGAGAGGAUGAUCAGCCACACUGGGACUGAGACACGGCCCAGACUCCUACGGGAGGCAGCAGUGGGGAAUUUUCCGCAAUGGGCGAAAGCCUGACGGAGCAAUACCGCGUGAGGGAGGAAGGCUCUUGGGUUGUAAACCUCUUUUCUCAAGGAAUAAGUUCUGAAGGUACUUGAGGAAUCAGCAUCGGCUAACUCCGUGCCAGCAGCCGCGGUAAUACGGAGGAUGCAAGCGUUAUCCGGAAUGAUUGGGCGUAAAGCGUCCGCAGGUGGCAUUGUAAGUCUGCUGUUAAAGAGCAAAGCUUAACUUUGUAAAAGCAGUGGAAACUACAGGGCUAGAGUGCGUUCGGGGCAGAGGGAAUUCCUGGUGUAGCGGUGAAAUGCGUAGAGAUCAGGAAGAACACCGGUGGCGAAGGCGCUCUACUAGGCCGCAACUGACACUGAGGGACGAAAGCUAGGGGAGCGAAUGGGAUUAGAUACCCCAGUAGUCCUAGCCGUAAACGAUGGAUACUAGGCGUUGCGAGUAUCGACCCUCGCAGUGCCGGAGCCAACGCGUUAAG